This 253-nucleotide ribosomal RNA is filed under the name uncultured bacterium. Its description in RNAcentral is "partial 16S ribosomal RNA". It matches the Rfam family "Bacterial small subunit ribosomal RNA", at positions 524 to 776 of the family's 1533-position model. The record is from RNAcentral.
UACGUAGGGACCAAGCGUUGUUCGGAUUUACUGGGCGUAAAGGGCGCGUAGGCGGCGUGUUAAGUCAGCUGUAAAAUCUCCGAGCUUAACUCGGAACGGUCAGCUGAUACUGAUGUGCUAGAGUGCAGAAGGGGCAAUCGGAAUUCUUGGUGUAGCGGUGAAAUGCGUAGAUAUCAAGAGGAACACCUGAGGUGGAGACGGGUUGCUGGGCUGACACUGACGCUGAGGCGCGAAAGCUAGGGGAGCAAACGGG